This is a long non-coding RNA of Stegodyphus dumicola, 877 nucleotides long. NCBI's taxonomy places the organism in Eukaryota, Metazoa, Arthropoda, Arachnida, Araneae, Eresidae. The record is from RefSeq and is a predicted model, not a curated record.
UAAUAUAUUUAAUAACUUAAUUUUAACAUAAUUCCAAAAAAAGUAAAUGUAAAAAUCCAUUAUUCGAGUUAAGGCAUUUAUGGUUAUGGUGAUUUAUAAUGAUUCUGAUGCUAGUUCCUGAUUUUUUCAGCAAUAAGAUUUUUUUUUUUUUAAAUAUUUUCGAAGAACCUUGGUGAAAGUAACUAUACUUUGGCAAUAUAACUAACUAAUGAAACCAAAACUAAAUAGUUAUCUGAACUUACAGGUCUUAGUUAUAGAAGAGGAAAGUCAUCAAGUUGCAUUCUUCACAGCUGACAACUCUCCUGUUUUUUCACACAUGUCCUGGUUUCCUGGUAGAUCUUGUCAUCCUCUGGUUUUAAAUAUUUAUGUUUUUAAAUCAUGUUUUGCCUCUUCCAAUGCAACAGAUCACUGAAUCUGUUGUAUUUAAAAUGUUAGCUUCUUAUUUUGCUGUUACUGACAUAGCUUUGAGUGGCUUCUGAAUGUUGGGAGUUUUGAACGGGUUGAAUGUAUGGUUGAUUUUUCAGGCUUUACCAAUGUGUAAUGAGAAUACAAGCCAGUUGCCUUAAAAAGUUCUCCACAAAGACAUCUUUUUCCUUAGGCAGAUAGUCAUUGUGAGCUUUGCCAUAUUCCUCUAACUGAUGCCUCAUCCAUCAAAAUACUAAACAGACUGGAUUGGCCAAUAUGAACACACUAGGCAUUAGUCAAAGAAGCGUGCAAAAACAGAUUGCAUACAUCAAAUCCUCAUACAUACUUAAGUUGAAACAAAGUGAAGCAGGAAAUUCUCCCAGUUUUGAUGAGAGACUGUGCAGCAGGAAAUUCUUCCAGUUUUCAUGAGAGACUCGCCCUGUUUUUCAGAUUUCAAGCACACCCAACGUAC